Molecule: unclassified non-coding RNA, 1351 nt
Filed under: uncultured Neocallimastigales
Lineage: Eukaryota; Fungi; Neocallimastigomycota; Neocallimastigomycetes; Neocallimastigales
Description: partial contains internal transcribed spacer 1, 5.8S ribosomal RNA, internal transcribed spacer 2, and large subunit ribosomal RNA
Rfam family: Eukaryotic large subunit ribosomal RNA (bases 595-1351)
Source: RNAcentral
AAAAUAAUCCUACCCUUUGUGAAUUUUGUUUGUUUGAAUAAUUUUUUUUUUUAAAAAAUUAUUGGAGUCUUUCCCUUUAGAGUUUGCUUUUGAGUUUGUAAAAGAAUUCGAAAACAUCUAAAGGGGAUGGUCAAUAAUUUUUUUUGAAAAAAGACAUUUUUUAAAAUUAAACUUUUUGUAUUCAUUUGUCUAAAAAUUAUUUUUAUAAUAUAAAAACAACUUUUGACAAUGGAUCUCUUGGUUCUCGCAACGAUGAAGAACGCAGCAAAAUGCGAUAAGUAGUGUGAAUUGCAGAAUACGUGAAUCAUUGAAUCUUUGAACGCAUAUUGCACUUUUUUAGUUUACUAAAAAAGUAUGUCUGUUUGAGUAUCAGUAAAAUAUUCUCAUAAAAAUCAUUGUGUAUUUUUAUGGUUAUGAGUGUUUUACAACGAUACAAGUUGUUUCACUUUAAAUUUUUUUUUAAUAUUGAAAUUUUUCUAAUUUUAAUAAUUAAAAUUGGAUAAAAUUUUCCCGUCAAAAGGAAUAACCUAAACAAUUUUAAAUGAUUAAUUUUAGCAAAAUUUUCGUAAAAAGGAAAAUUUUUAUUAAAUAACUUGAUCUCAAAUCAGAUAAGAGUACCCGCUGAACUUAAGCAUAUCAAUAAGCGGAGGAAAAGAAACUAACAAGGAUUCCCUUAGUAACGGCGAGUGAAGCGGGAAGAGCUCAAAUUUGAAAUCUUCAAGGUUUUACCUUGACGAAUUGUAGUUUAAAGAAGUGUUUUCUGCUGAAGUUUUGGUAAAAGUUCUUUGGAAUAGGACAUCAUAGAGGGUGAGAAUCCCGUAUUUGACCAUUAUUUUCAGCUUUGUGAUACACUUUCAAAGAGUCGGAUUGUUUGGGAAUGCAGUCCAAAAUGGGUGGUAAAUUUCAUCUAAAGCUAAAUAUUGGCGAGAGACCGAUAGCGAACAAGUACCGUGAGGGAAAGAUGAAAAGAACUUUGAAAAGAGAGUUAAACAGUACGUGAAAUCGUCAAAAGGGAAGCGUUUGACACCAGUGUUGUUUUCUCGAAAAUCAAUUAAAAAUGGCUCGAUUUUGUAUUGCUGAGACCUUAAAAGCUCACUGUACAUUUUUCGUGUCUUUUUUAAUGCACUUUUCGUUUAACAAGUCAACAUCAGUUUCUUUUGUUGUAAAAGGGUCAUUGGAAGGUGGCUUUCUUUUCGGAGAAAGUGUUUAUAGCCUUUGGCCUCUGCAAUCGGAGAGACUGAGGUCUGCAGCGUAGACUCUUCGGGGUUAGAUACAUUUGUGCUAAGUUAUAGCUUUUAUAGACAACUUGUUGACUAUAAUUAGUCUUGUAGCUUACUCGCUUAUGCUAUUU